GUCAUUCCACGUCGUGGUGCGGCUGUUGUGGUCCACGAAGAAGGGCCAGCCGGUCUGCGGGUCGAUCUUGAUCUCCCAGCCGGGGGGCAGGGGGUCGCGGUCGCUGGCGCCGUUGCCGGACGCCAUCUGCACCAUGGGCUCAAGCGCUGUCCAGAAGGAGGUCUGGAAUGUUGAUCUGACACCAUAACGAAGCCAGGGAGAAAAUGGAAGAGCAAAUGGAAACUCACCUGCCUGCCUUUUGAAACCCAACGAAGAAAGAUUGCAUCAGCUCCUGGACCUCAUAUCUCAAAUAUAGAAACUCUCGUUGCAGUGAACAACUUUAAAGAAAAAUCACAUCCUUUGGGGUUUUGGUCUUUUUUAUGGUGGAGGCUGAUUCUUGCUAUCCUAAAUCUUGACCUUAUUUGGGAAGUGGAGACCAAAUUGAUGCAUGAAAAAGUUUUGUUUGGUUGAUUCAGUGGUGGUUGCACUUGUAGCCUCAACAGGGCAUCCCCAUUCCUAUGGGAGAGAGAGAGGGUGCUCCAGAUAGAGAAUGUUUCAGAGCUUCCACUUUAGAUCCUUAGGCCUGCAGACUCAUUCCUUCCCCCAGAAACAUUUUGAGAUGCUGCCUUGGACUAUUGUGGGGUCCAAUUUUCCAACUCAAAUUCAGAGAAUACCCUGGGACCCUCCACAACACCUUUUGUCUCUUUCUGCCCUCAAAUUACUCCUUUUGGAGCAAAUGCUAGAGAGGCCUUCUGAUUAUUUCCAGUGGAAUGGUUCCCACUUACAUAGGUUUACUUAUCAGCUUUGAAGUCCAAAAAUGCAGUUUUGUGAAAACACAGAGGCGAUUAAGCUACAGGGACUGACUCAGGUCACAAAUACACAAGAGACUGAUGUAUAAACCCAAAUGCCAGUGUACUAAUUUACCAUCAGAAAUAUUACUUUUGAAGGAGCUGGACCCUCAAGUUCAUUGGUCAGUGUCUAUCUGAUUCUUACUUAUAUCUGAAGCUCUGAGCACUGGGCUGGGCCCAGAGUCCAUAUUCAAUAAAUACUGAUGUUUAUUGAA
Non-coding RNA from Equus caballus (horse), 1042 nucleotides. NCBI's taxonomy places the organism in Eukaryota, Metazoa, Chordata, Mammalia, Perissodactyla, Equidae. The record is from RefSeq and is a predicted model, not a curated record.